CCCCCCCCUAUUAUUCCAAAGCAGCCAAAGGGGGAAAGGAAAAGGAAAAAAAAAAAUCACAACCAAAAAAAAAAGUGUUAUUUUUAAGCCACUGCCGCUUUCAUUAGAUACGGGUCCUCUGGUGCUGUCGCUCUCAAGUUUGUUUCCCGGGGGCUCCGCGACUUCAGUGAGAUUAAUUGGAGAGGGCAGGAGGGGUUGGGAUGCGCGUACGUGCGGAGCGGCCGCCCUGCCCUGCCCUGGCCGGGCGGGGCGGGGCGGGGGGCGCAUCCCUGCUUCCCGCAUCCCGCGCUGCCUCCUGCCGGGAGGGCACCAAAGGGUUAAGAAACUUGGCUGGAGAGAUGAAUGGCGCGGCGCGGGGAGGGGCCGGGCUGCGCCGCGGCGGGCGAGGUGGAAGGCGGAGAGGGAGGAUCGCGGCUGCGGGUUAGGCUUUGAAAGUCAGCCUCGCAGGCAUUGCAGCAGAGCCCCGAGCCGCGGAGAGCAGCGCAGCGGAGCUCGGCUCGCCCUAUCAAGCAUGAAAUUUUUGAGGAAGACAAUUACUGCAUCCUUGGACUCCUGAAGGAAGAGCUUUCCUAAUGGAACCACAUUCAAGGAAUUUUAUGUGCUUGGUGGAGAUGGAAAAGGAAGAAAAGCAAACUGGCCUCCAGAAGCAAGAAGGCAGCAAAUAUUUGAUGGAACUGUUUUUCUGUGAAACCAUGUUUUGAGUGUUCUCCUAGACAUCGUCCAUAAAUAUCCUAGAUCUCAGCUGAGGAUUGCUAUGAUUGGAAACCUGGCUCAUCAAACAGUGUACACUGGGAGAAGCCUGCGUAGGAUAAUACAUUUUCUGUUGUUUCUGAAGGUCUCUAAGAAAACACUGUAGACAUCUACCUGUUAUUAACCCUGCAUCUUGAUUGAGCAAAACUAGCCUUUGAAGUGAACAGAAACAGAGCCUU
This 929-nucleotide long non-coding RNA is filed under the name Zonotrichia albicollis (white-throated sparrow). RNAcentral describes it as "lncRNA (ENSZALG00000012262.1)". The record is from RNAcentral. Lineage: Eukaryota; Metazoa; Chordata; Aves; Passeriformes; Passerellidae.